ACCAGACUACAAAGACAGAGCAAAGAAGGAACACUGGUACCUGGCAAGAAAGGAGACUUCCUUCCUUUCCAACCAACACAGCCCAUGCUAACUACUAUGCUGUACACCUAUUGCAAAAGGAAGCAGACAGGCACAUUGUGUGGUUUAAACAAAGCUGAGGAUCACAGCAGACAACCACUGAAGAUUUAAAACAUGGUCAGCAGAGUGCUUGCUCUCCAGAAGGAAAUGAACCCACAGGACAACGGGAUGGCGGGCUCAGUGCAUGGGAUUUCAGCUCAUCUACAGAUCUGUGCAGAACAAGGGAUCCUGCAUCUUGUAUCAGACACAUGGCAGAAGCUGAUAAGAUUUGGUAGUGACUGGAGUGAUGACCAUGAUGGAGGUUGGUGAUGGAUGACAGACUGAAGAACACAAAAGGAGAAGCAGGGAUUGUAACAGAAGAUUUAUGAGAAAAUCAGAAAUCUGUUGAAAGCUGUGUUGUUUCCAUCAGACAGCAUGAGCACUGAAGGCUCAGAACUACCACAGUGCAUGCCUUGCUUUAUCAAGACACUUCUAUGCAUUUUGAACUUUCCAAGUGAGCAUUUUCUUCAAAUAACAAGCACAAAACCACCAUCCUCUCUUGAGGGAAAAAGAAUGAGUGCUCAUAUGUCAUGGACAUUGUCGCUUCAUGCAAAUGUGAAAUUAAAGUCUACCUUUCACACAAACAAGUUAUUACAAUUAGUUUUGUUGAAUGUUUACUAUGAUGUGGAAGAUGAAAAACAUGUUGACUGCAAAGGAAUUGGUGGCAUGAGACUUUGCAGAACAAAACAAGAACAAGAAAAACAAAGGGCAACUAGGGUUAAAGUGAACUGCACAGAUUAGCACCUGUGAAAGGGAACCGAUUGAGCGAGUCCUGGGAACAAAAAACACCUCAUGCAAAACAUAACGACUUGGCUCAGACUUUUGGAUGCCAGCUGCACAGGACUCUUCAUUCUAUUUUUACAUGGGAACAAGGCACCACUCGGGGAAAGAAGGGGCCUCCCCUUCUUUGGAAAGCAUAAAACCACACUGCUUGUUUCAAUAAACGAUUUCGGUCCUCUCAAGUGGUGGUGUCUGUGCCUUCAGCAUACCACACUAUGAGUAAAUUGCUUUCUGCUUUCUCAGCUUCUAUCUAAGUCCAUAGCACUUAGCUGUAGAGAAGGAAUAAAACCCAAAUUUAAUACAACAACUAAUCUUAAACUCAGUAAUUUUUAUGGGGAAAUUCAUUAUAUAUUGAAAAGGUCCCUAUGUCAGUGACAGUAUUUACAGGUUUUACCUUCGCUUUUUGAAUGUUAUCUUGAUUUGCUCUUUUUCUCUGCAGAAGAAGACACAGAUAUAGACUAUUCCUGGGUAAAGACUACUGGCGUCUUUAAUUAUGGUAUUAAAAAUAGUCAUGUGAGUGUAAAUUGUUUCCAUUAAACCUUAAGUAGUAAUAUGUUAGUCUUUAAAUAAUUUGCAAGUACCACAUUGGAAGUGCCACAUACAACAACAUACAACAACAGUCCACCUGUACGGAACUGCAGGACAACAAGUUAGACGUAGGAAGUCUCCGCAUCUCUCUGCGCUAGCCGGCAAUUCACUCCGGCGAGCGGCGUGCACACUGGCAAAGCCACGAAGCUGCGUUGGGGCAGGCAGAGCCGAGGGCACACGCUGUCCUCCCAGCAGCUUCACCAAGGCACAGCUGGGUGUCACCCACAGGCUGAAUCUGCCAAAGCCUACAUUAAUGAAAUAUUAAUAUUUGGCUUUUUAAAAAAAUGCAGAUUGGUCUCUCUUUUGCUAGACUAUCUCCUAGGAGAAGAAAAUCCACUUUAGGUUCCUUUCAUGGCUCUUGGGUUUUGUUUCAGUCCAGCGUACAGACAUUCUUACUAAUGGUAAUGAAAAAGCUGUCAAGACAAAAUGAAAGAUACACUGUACAGAGCUUUAUUCUAAUGUAAGAAAUGCAAAAUUAUAUCGGGUAAUUCACCGAAAAGGGUAUCUGGGAAGGAAAAAUGAAAUUUGGAAAUAGCUGAUGGACUGCUACAUUCAUAGCAAACUAAAGCAAAUUUUUGACAUGCAAAUUUUGCACUGUUCUUCUUAGCAACCAACUCUUUUCAUUCUUACAGAAUUUACUGUUAUUGUAUCAGGCUAAAUCUACAUGUGGUAUUUCAAGGCAAAGGUAUCAAGUGUAUUUAAAGCUUUUCAGGAUCUUGUAGUCAGAAAAAAACCCCAGUACUCUUAAACUCCCCCUGCAUUUUUAUUCUUUUUACUUACAAAAAUGUGAUUUUUGCAAGACCCUGUGACUUUGUAAUAUCUGAUGUAAGCAUUGGUGUUAAUCCAAUAAAGCCUUUGGCUUGAACGGCUCAUGAGAGCACUCAAGCAAAAGGAGGAGUUUUAAAAACUUAAAAGUUGUUUUGCCAAAAGGUAGUUUUAGAUGUGGCAUUGAUCCUAAAUGUGGCCUUGGCAGACUGGUAUAGAAAAUACGCAGUUCUACCAUUCUGUAAGGUAAUAAAGGUGGCUUUAUGUCCAGAUACUUCAGCACAUGCUACUUACACAGCUGUAAUUCGAGGAAACCAUCAAACACUGCACUUGAUAAUUUGUAUUUAUGCAGUUCCUCUUGUUCUAAAAAUC
Molecule: long non-coding RNA, 2622 nt
Organism: Tyto alba (common barn owl)
Lineage: Eukaryota; Metazoa; Chordata; Aves; Strigiformes; Tytonidae
Exons: 5
Source: RefSeq, a predicted model, not a curated record